UACGAGUGCCCCAAGCGUUAUCCGGAAUUAUUGGGCGUAAAGGGUGUGUAGGUGGUCUUGUUAGUCUUCUGUGAAAUUCUUCGGCUUAACCGUGGGUCCGCAGGGGAAACGGCAGGACUAGAGGAUGCGAGAGGUGUGCGGAACUCAUGGUGUAGGGGUGAAACCCGUUGAUAUCAUGGGGAACACCGAAAGCGAAGGCAGCACACUGGCGCACUCCUGACACUGAAACACGAAAGCGUGGGUAGCGAAUGGG
RNAcentral lists this ribosomal RNA (253 nucleotides) under uncultured bacterium. RNAcentral's name for it is "partial 16S ribosomal RNA". It matches the Rfam family "Bacterial small subunit ribosomal RNA", at positions 524 to 776 of the family's 1533-position model. The record is from RNAcentral.